This 551-nucleotide long non-coding RNA is filed under the name Diabrotica virgifera virgifera (western corn rootworm). RNAcentral describes it as "uncharacterized LOC126885143". Lineage: Eukaryota; Metazoa; Arthropoda; Insecta; Coleoptera; Chrysomelidae. The record is from RNAcentral.
UUAUAACCCACAUAACCCAUAUUCUGAGAUGCAAAGAUUCAAAUAAUUCUGCCAUAAUAAAUCCCAUCUUACAUAACAAACAAAUCAACACAACCCAUAUUCCGAGAUUUAAAGCUUCAAAUAAUUCUGCCACAUUAUUCUACCCUUCGAACAAAAAAUUUCUCUAACACCCCUGUAUAAGUUAAGUCAAUAUUCUACCUCUUACUCAAGGGCUUGAGCCAUAAAUCUUACAAACAUGCGUGUCGUCGGCUAGUGGGUGGAUUUGGCAUAGGGAAAAAUAACAUCUCAUUUGCCGCUAAUUCGUCUAACGGUGAUCAACUACAAAUGAAGGCUUCAGUGAGAUUCAAAUCACCGAAUUAAAUAACUAGCCAAUGAACAUUAAUACAUGGUGUAUUUUUCCGCAGUGUAUCGUUAAGUUGUUGUUAUAGAAUGAGUAGUAUCUGUAGAAUUUUUGUUUUAACAUCUUAAACAUACUACAAAUUGCUUUUGAACUGAUGAAGCUUUCGAAAUUGUAAAGCGAAACGUUUUCAAUAUAUCAAUGAAGUAGUUGA